GUCCGGGUGGUGGAAUGGCAGACACCGUCGACUUAAAAUCGACUGCCGCAAGGCGUGCGGGUUCGAAUCCCGCCCCGGGCA
This 81-nucleotide transfer RNA is filed under the name Micromonosporaceae bacterium. RNAcentral describes it as "tRNA-Leu". It matches the Rfam family "tRNA". From Rfam's summary of the family: Transfer RNA (tRNA) molecules are approximately 80 nucleotides in length. Their secondary structure includes four short double-helical elements and three loops (D, anti-codon, and T loops). Further hydrogen bonds mediate the characteristic L-shaped molecular structure. tRNAs have two regions of fundamental functional importance: the anti-codon, which is responsible for specific mRNA codon recognition, and the 3' end, to which the tRNAs corresponding amino acid is attached (by aminoacyl-tRNA synthetases). tRNAs cope with the degeneracy of the genetic code in two manners: having more than one tRNA (with a specific anti-codon) for a particular amino acid; and 'wobble' base-pairing, i.e. permitting non-standard base-pairing at the 3rd anti-codon position. Lineage: Bacteria; Bacillati; Actinomycetota; Actinomycetes; Micromonosporales; Micromonosporaceae. The record is from RNAcentral.